Molecule: unclassified non-coding RNA, 391 nt
Filed under: soil metagenome
Description: partial contains 5.8S ribosomal RNA, internal transcribed spacer 2, and large subunit ribosomal RNA
Rfam family: 5.8S ribosomal RNA (bases 1-122)
Source: RNAcentral
GAUGAAGAACGUAGCGAAAUGCGAUACUUGGUGUGAAUUGCAGAAUCCCGUGAACCAUCGAGUCUUUGAACGCAAGUUGCGCCCGAAGCCACUAGGCCGAGGGCACGCCUGCCUGGGCGUCACACGCCGUUGCCCCCCCAUCUACUCCUUCGGGAUUGCGGGGGGGCGGAUGAUGGCCUCCUGUGCGCCUAGCCGCGCGGUUGGCAUAAAUACCAAGUCCUCGGCGACGCACGCCACGACCAUCGGUGGUUGCGAAACCUCGGUUGCCCGUCGUGUGCGUUCGUCGCGCAUCGAGGGCUCGAAAAAAUGCUCGGCUCCGGCUGGGCUUUCAACGCGACCCCAGGUCAGGCGGGGUUACCCGCUGAAUUUAAGCAUAUCAAUAAGCGGAGGA